This 516-nucleotide ribosomal RNA is filed under the name uncultured bacterium. Its description in RNAcentral is "bacterial SSU rRNA". It matches the Rfam family "Bacterial small subunit ribosomal RNA", at positions 29 to 526 of the family's 1533-position model. The record is from RNAcentral.
AGCGAACGUUAGCGGCGGGCCUAACACAUGCAAGUCGAGCGAGAAAGUGGCUUCGGCCAUGAGUAAAGCGGCGGACGGGUGAGUAACACGUAGGUAAUCUUCCCUUGAGCGGGGGACAACAGGCCGAAAGGCCUGCUAAUACCGCAUAAGUACUAGAGGACUCCGGUUCUUUAGUGGAAAGCUAGGUAGCAAUAUCCGGCACUCGAGGAGGAGCCUGCGUCGCAUCAGCUAGUUGGUGGGGUAACGGCCUACCAAGGCGAAGACGCGUAGCUGGUCUGAGAGGAUGAUCAGCCACACUGGGACUGAGACACGGCCCAGACUCCUACGGGAGGCAGCAGUGGGGAAUAUUGGACAAUGGGCGCAAGCCUGAUCCAGCCACGCCGCGUGAGUGAUGAAGGCCUUCGGGUCGUAAAGCUCUGUGGGGAGGGACGAACCGCCAUCGGUUAAUACCCGGCGGCAUGACGGUACCUCCUUAGCAAGCACCGGCUAACUUCGUGCCAGCAGCCGCUGUAAAAC